Molecule: long non-coding RNA, 448 nt
Organism: Impatiens glandulifera
Lineage: Eukaryota; Viridiplantae; Streptophyta; Magnoliopsida; Ericales; Balsaminaceae
Exons: 4
Source: RefSeq, a predicted model, not a curated record
ACACUGAGAAUUACAUUAAUCUUCUUUUGAAGAUCACCUUAUUUCUAGCAUCCAUCAUUCUCUUAACGACAUUGGGAGAGGCAUCAAGAGAGCUCAUUGACGUUACCAUUUCUCCCAACCCAUUAAAUCCAACGUCUCCUGGAUGGGCCAAAACGAUACCAUCAUUACCAGUUCUUCCUCGGCUUCCUCCACCUCCUCCUCAUCUGGCAGGACCAAAAGAUGACCCUCGUGCACAUGGUUACCAUUGUUGUUAAGUGAAUUUUUCGUAAAGUGUUGGACGAGUUAAGUGAAUUUUUCGUAAGUGUUGGAUGAAGUCUUUGUGUGCUUAAUUAUAUGUUAAUUAACGUUUUUGCAAACUAUUUAUGUUACAGUGUAUUUGUUUUUAUUGUUCAAAUAAUGGGGAUUGUAAUUAAUCAUGUUUAUCAUAUGACAUUGUAUUAUCUGUAUA